RNAcentral lists this ribosomal RNA (447 nucleotides) under uncultured bacterium. RNAcentral describes it as "bacterial SSU rRNA". It matches the Rfam family "Bacterial small subunit ribosomal RNA", at positions 330 to 792 of the family's 1533-position model. The record is from RNAcentral.
CCCAGACUCCUACGGGAGGCAGCAGUGGGGAAUAUUGGGCAAUGGGCGCAAGCCUGACCCAGCAACGCCGCGUGAAGGAAGAAGGCUUUCGGGUUGUAAACUUCUUUUAAGAGGGAAGAGCAGAAGACGGUACCUCUUGAAUAAGCCACGGCUAACUACGUGCCAGCAGCCGCGGUAAUACGUAGGGGGCAAGCGUUAUCCGGAUUUACUGGGUGUAAAGGGGGCGCAGACGGCAAUGCAAGCCAGGAGUGAAAGCCCGGGGCCCAACCCCGGGACUGCUCUUGGAACUGCAUGGCCGGAGUACAGGAGGGGCAGGCGGAAUUCCUAGUGUAGCGGUGAAAUGCGUAGAUAUUAGGAGGAACACCGGUGGCGAAGGCGGCCUGCUGGACUGUGACUGACGUUGAGGCCCGAAGGCGUGGGGAGCAAACAGGAUUAGAUACCCCCGUA